AUGGCGGCAACCUACUGCGCCUACCCCGCCGCCUCCGCCGCCGCCGCAAACCCUACCAGACGCCACCUGCAAACCCUAACCGCGCCGGGCGCCCUACCUGCUGCUCGGAAACCCAGCCGCCAAGCCCCCACCUUCCUCUCUUUCCGGCGCCCCAAUGCAGCGCUGCGGCCGCUCCGCGUCGCUGGCGCUGACCCGCAGAUUGUAAAUGGGGAAGAUUUCCCUCCUAUGAAUGACCUAAUUCGACUGUACAAGAAAGCCUUUCUAGAUGGAAACGAUGAUGUUGUUAGUGACAUCGAGAAGGCAAUCACUAGCAUGGAGGAAGAGAGAAGUAAAGCAGCUUCUCAGCUUGAAAGUAUUACAGCUGAAAUAGCUUCAGGGAAGAAUAAGUUUCUUCGCUUAAAUGCUGAUCUAGAGAAUUUCCGGAAACAGGCUGAAAAGGACCGUGCAAAGUUUACAUCUAAUAUACAAGUGGAACUUGUACAGAAUCUGUUGCCUCUGGUUGAUAGCUUUGAGAAAACAAAUGUAGAGGUCACCCUAGAGACUGAGAAAGAGCAGAAAAUCAGCACAAGCUAUCAAGGCAUAUACAAGCAAUUAGUAGAAACACUGAAAAGCUUAGGUGUAGGGGUUGUGGAAACUGUUGGCAAGCCAUUUGAUCCAGUGGUUCACGAGGCUAUCGCGCGUGAAGAAUCCACAGAGUUUAAGGCUGGGAUCGUCUCACACGAAGUUCACCGAGGGUUCCUUCUGAGGGAGAGGGUGCUAAGGCCUGCUGCGGUGAAGGUCUCUACCGGUCCUGGUGACCAAAUUGCGGGCGCCACAUCUUCGGAGGAGCCCGUGGAGGAUACCAAAGAGGAUGCUGCUGUGUGA
RNAcentral lists this ribosomal RNA (864 nucleotides) under Triticum aestivum (bread wheat). Its description in RNAcentral is "partial small subunit ribosomal RNA". Lineage: Eukaryota; Viridiplantae; Streptophyta; Magnoliopsida; Poales; Poaceae. The record is from RNAcentral.